GACGGGGGAUGCAAGCGUUAUCCGGAAUCACUGGGCGUAAAGCGUCUGUAGGUGGUGAUGCAAGACACUGGAGCAAAACUCUGACUCAACCGGAGGAAAGCCAGUGAAACUGCAUGACUAGAGUGUGGGAGAGGUAGAAGGAAUUCCCUGAGUAGCGGUGAAAUGCGUAGAUACAGGGAAGAACACCGGAGGCGAAAGCGUUCUACUGGAAUACAACUGACACUGAGAGACGAAAGCUAGGGGAGCGAAUGGG
This 253-nucleotide ribosomal RNA is filed under the name uncultured bacterium. RNAcentral describes it as "partial 16S ribosomal RNA". It matches the Rfam family "Bacterial small subunit ribosomal RNA", at positions 524 to 776 of the family's 1533-position model. The record is from RNAcentral.